GGGGCCAUAGCUCAGCUGGGGGAGCGCCUGCUUUGCACGCAGGAGGUCAGGAGUUCGAUCCUCCUUGGCUCCACCA
This 76-nucleotide transfer RNA is filed under the name Pseudomonas aeruginosa. RNAcentral's name for it is "tRNA-Ala". It matches the Rfam family "tRNA". From Rfam's summary of the family: Transfer RNA (tRNA) molecules are approximately 80 nucleotides in length. Their secondary structure includes four short double-helical elements and three loops (D, anti-codon, and T loops). The record is from RNAcentral. Lineage: Bacteria; Pseudomonadati; Pseudomonadota; Gammaproteobacteria; Pseudomonadales; Pseudomonadaceae.